CUAAUGGGCAAAUGAGUGUGUCAGUGAAUGUAUAUGGCAGAGGGGAAGAGAGAGACCCGGAUCCUGACAGAGAGGGCCAAAAUUAAAAACUACCAUAAAUAUCAUGAUACCCAAUACUUACAAUACCCUCUUCAUGUCUCCCCUGCGAUCGCUCGCCGUAAGCGCAGAGAAGUUGCUACAUUUGUGGCUAGUAGCUUUUGCAGUGCCUUGUUUUUCUUGUAAAGACUAAAUCUUUAAGUCUUCACUUUAGAAAGUGUGUAUUUUAGACACUGUUAAAUUGUCUUUUUAAACACAAAACCACACACAUUUGAUCAUCGAAAGCAGAAUUCCAGGUAGAAGGUGUCAAACGAGCGACUCUUCCUGCUGUCCUCGUGCGGUUUGCUGGGUUCUCAACUCUUCAUAAUUUGACAGCUGUGUUCAAAGUGCCAACAAUCUCCCGACUUUUAGUCAGGACGUUUUCCAAACCGCUGUCUUUUAGGGACACAGUGUUGGUCCUCUGCAGACCUCGCGGGCAGGGUAGAUGUUGAGAUGGCGACCCGGGGGGAUCGGAGAUCCCGACAAAGUCUAGCAGGUGCCAACAUGUUCCAGGCACUAUCAGUGCUUUAAGUGAGAUGGUGACACAAGCUGGAUUUGCUCUACCUCACUCACAGGUCUGAUCAAGAAGCCUCCUUUUUUUUUAAGAACGUUUGAUUCUUCCUGCACGCACAACAUCCGUCAAGGCGAGAAUCAAAACAUUCAAUGGCAACUGGACCGGGUUAUUGCGGCUACGAUGUUUUUGACAAGAUAACUUAAUUGUAAUUAUUGUUGGAGGAAAUUAUGGGGGGGUGAUAUAAUUCUUGGGGGCAAUGUGGCCCUUUGCCCUGUAUUUCCGUAUUUCCUACAAUGCAUGAUAAACGCCUGAUAAAGAUGAAGAUGUCCAAUUUUCUGAAAAUAUUAAUGAACACACUAAAGCUGUUUGAAAAAACAACUUUGUAGUUAGUAGAGGCUCCUGAAAUUGUCCUGUUGCCGGUACCUGGUGUGUUAUUCUCUUGUGUCUGUUUCAUAAGGCCACAUUCCAUUUAAUAGCCAAGCCCCGAGAGUCACCACCAGACAUAAAAAAAGGAGCUGUAAAGCUCUUUUCCCUGCUAUCUGCUACAACCACUGCUGCGUCCAAUUUCACCCGCUCAGUGUCACUGCUGUCCCCAUUCAGAGAGAGAGAUGUGUGCCGGAAACAGUGGGAGGAUGGAGGUAAAGGGAGAACAAUAAAAAACAAUAAUUUGUUCAGCGUUUUUUUUUUUCUGAGGGAGUUAAAGAAGGUGAAAUCGGCACCUCCCUUUUAGUUUUCUAAAAGUAGUGUGGUUUUAGAACCUCAGCCUUGUAACAAGCCUGUGAUGAAGGUGUCCGUGGAAAGUCUGCUGUGUAGCUGCACAUUUGCUUUCAAUUAAGACAUGUCAAAUUGUUCUCUCCCCUCUCCUUUCUUUAAACUCUAACCUACCCUAGAACGUCCAGUAUGAUCUGGAUUACAGGAUCCCUGUUUUACAGACCAAAACUCCAAAUCAACUGAAUAACAUGUAUUGAAAUAAUGAAUAAACUGCUGUAAAGUCCAGCUGCCGUAUUUAGGGUUGGAUGCAUUAAAUUGACUCACUGGCACUUUGUGUAUGUGUUUGUCACGAGCUUGUAACUCUCACACUAUUCCCUUCCACUAUUUGCACUAACUGUUUUGCCAGGGCCCCAUUGCUGCCCUUCGCGUAAUCAGAUAUAUCUGAAUGUAUAUUGAAAAAGGUAAAAAGAAAACAUUUGAUAUUGAAAAACGUGAUCAAUAUUGGAAGCCCGGUUGGGAAUAUCUGGAAAAAUUUAGCGUAACAACUUCUCUUGUUCUGGUAGAUUUAUUUGUCUAAUCAAGAAUCAGUGGUGCGUUUGCAAAGGUCGGGGCAGUUCUGUCGGCCCGCAGGCCGGAAGAACAGCUUACUAACAUGAG
Gasterosteus aculeatus aculeatus (three-spined stickleback) is the source of this 1957-nucleotide long non-coding RNA. The record is from Ensembl. NCBI's taxonomy places the organism in Eukaryota, Metazoa, Chordata, Actinopteri, Perciformes, Gasterosteidae.